GAAAGCCAAAUGCAACAGCAGAAGAAAUUAGUUUUGUUCGCCAUGCCGCCUUGCGUUUACUUGUGUCAUACCGUCAACUUUCAUUAAUUUAAAAGUUUAAUUGAUCGAUUUGAGCAUUUGACAUUAGUUCAAAAAUUUAGCAGCAUAGAGAUGGUUGCAUAGGCAAUGAUCAGAAGCUCUAAGCAUGUAUCAUAAGAUUCAGUAAUGCUUACUACAGGUUACAGGAACACAUGGACACCCAAAAACAGUGAGAUUCCCUCUUCUAAGGUGAAAACUAUUGCAGAUAUGUGUGUGACAUUGGAUAUUUGGUACAAUGCUAAGUCUGUCUUUGAAGAGGUCACCAAAUUUGGAAAAGUCCAAAUUAUCAUUAUGGUGGAAUCCUUGACUGGCAUGACUAUAGUCGAUAAGGGCGGUCAACGUGUUCAGGUGAACUGUGGGGCAACCGAGAAUGAUCCAACGGCGGAUAAGACGACGGUAACUUGUCGUAGAUUUCUCCUGUUUCGUAAGUGCUAGGAUAUAAGGAUGCAGAAGGGUGGUAACUUGGAGGAGUCUUUGGAGGAGUGUAAGGCGUUUGUGGAUGAACGGGGAAAUGACUGGCCGCUUCUUGGUUGUAAUUCGGAGUUGGUUUGUAUUUUAGUUUCAAUGGUUCAUAUUCCUCGAUUAGUUGCUGGUAAUUGUAAUAUCCAUCACGUUCUUUUAACUGAUUCCUUGGCUCACUUGAUUUUCCUGGUGCGAGUCUAUGGACUGUCGUACUGGUUUUCGUUUUUAUUUGACGGUUAUCAAGUCCAACAACUGCCGUGGCUAAAAGAGCAAGAAGGAUUGAAUCCAGAAACUGCGUAAUACGUUAUUAUACAAAAAUUUAUUCAUUAAUUGUUUUCUUAAGUUUCUCAAAGCUUUUACUAAACACUACUUACUCCGAGGACUUCGCGUUUCAUGCUGUUCAAAUAUUUUGAUUAUCUACGCGUUGCAGUACUUCCACGCAGGAGCUGUGUUCGAAGGCGACUUUGAUUGAUCAGCAGCAGACUGACAGGAUUUAUAUUCGGUCUAGGUAGGUGCCUCUUUCUCAAAACAGUCAUUGCACUAAUAGAACAUUUUCUCUGGCACGUGUUUCUUGCAUUCGCGCGGUGGGUCGGCCUUUGUUUUCCUGGUUCCGCAAGGCUUCUCAGGUGGUUUCAGCUUUGAUAGUCCUUUCUAUUUAUUUAUUUUUUUUUUAACUCUGCUGCAAGAAUCAAGCUUCCUUUUCAUGAUGGCUACGCUGGUCAGUCAUCCUGUCAAAAGAAUAUGGAAUAGUGAUUGAAAAUUCCAUAAUUCAAUAGAAUUUUUAAAGAAAAUUAAUGCAGAAUAUCCCGAAUGACAAGAAAUUGUGCCGCAAGCCGUUAACCACGAAUUUGAGAAAUCGAGAUUUCUAACACUCGACAGAAGCGUUCUAAGUAAUUCAGGUUUCGAUCGGGAAAAGUCAUACGGAACUAUGUCAGCAUGGGCGGAGAAAUUUUCGAGAAUAUGUCGUUAAUUCAUAAUGGCCAUUCAUUACAUUUCUGCAGUAAUAACAGGUUGCAUUUCGCCCAAGACAGCACCAAUAACUAAGAAAGUAUGUUUGAUUCGAAAACCAUACGCAACAUGUUAAUUCGAAAGAAUUUGCAAAAAGUAAGCAACUGGAAGCAGUUUUCUCUAUACAAGUCCCGGAUUUCACUCGCCUAUUGAAAGCAACGAUGGAAAGGAGAUUGACCUGAAACGUUAUCCGAGUUCUUUUUCCGGGCAUCCCGACCUGUUUGUUUGAAUGCGGAAACUUUAUUCCAUGAGCAAGGUGUAUCGUCUUUGACAUUUCAUAUUUAUUACUACUAGACCUUUCUCAAAAUUGUGAUCUCGUUUUCAGUGUGCUUUGCCAUCGAUUCCAGUUUCUCAAGUACUAUUGACCAAGGUAAGGUUUGAAUCGUAGGAUUCGUCCGUGUCUAUAUUAACCGAAGCGCUGAAGCUUAGCUUGGGAACGAGAUCAAAAGAAAGGAAGCAUUUAUCUUCUUUUAAAACAAUCGUCUACCCAGCUGCAGGCAACCGUGUAUCUUCUACAUUCAUAGCGAGGUUAUUAUCAGAAACAUGUAAAGGCCAACACCCAGUAAUAACACAUUGAGAAAGCCUUCAAUUUGCGGAAAAAAAUUGGAAGUCAUGCAGGUAAUUGGACGGAGAUAGCGCGCGUGCAUGUAGAUCCAAAGCAUUCUAACAUCCAGGCCAUUUAUCUUGCGCAGUUUGUCAUCUGUAAUCCAUAUACUAUUACAGUACAUGUAACCCGUUAAGAUCUUCGUGACCGAAGAUCAGACACACAGCAGGAACCAGGAAGAUUUGGAAACAGUAUACAAAAAACUUACGGACUUCCAAUAUACUAAAAUCACCUUCGCAAGUAUUGAGUACAAUUUGGAAUAAGAUCGUCUUUGCCAUGAAAUUAAAGUGCGGAUUAAGCGCUUCAUUCUUUUCCCCUACAUAAAGCGACAGAAAAGAUUCAUCGUAGCUGUAGUCGAACAAUUUGAUAAUAGCACUAAGACACGCGCGUACGCAAUACUGAACCUUUCUUAUGUAAAUGUUCUAUAACUCGUGCUUUUUUAUUAUGUUAUGGAGCCGCCAAUUGAUUUUCUAGUGUUACGUUUCCUUUAACUUGAUCUCCUCUUGUAUCUUCAUUUUUAAAUCGACGAAACAAAAGGAAUAGAAAACCGUCUGGUGAGUAGGUGCGACUCAGGUGCGUCUAUUUAAAUACAGAAACAGCAGGUAAAAAAAAUGAGAAGUAUAAUUUUAAAUAAAAAUGUGUAUUAUCUUUUUAUUUUAAAACUACCGUUUAAUGUUUGUCGGAUACAUGUGUAAGGAACUCCUGUUGACAUCGUUGUUAAAUUUUGAAUCCAAAUAAUGUAUUUUUUAAAAAGAAAUAUCUAGGUUUUUGAAUAAAUAACUUGGUCUGUUCUAACCUUCUAGAUUCGCCUUUAUUUUGGUUGUAAACAAAAAAACUAGAUGUCGCUGGUGCUCUUCCCUAAUUGUUUUUUUGUGAUUUCGUGUGACUGUGGUGUGAGUAGUGAAACCUGUGUUAGAAAGUUUUGUUAAAUAUAUUAUCCAAUGGAAAGUUUUAUAAAACUAACUACAAUCAAGUGUUUUAUUCCCUGUGUAGUUUUUGGAAGUGAAGCACACAGAAUAGUAAAUGUUUUAUGUGACGGGUAAUCUUGUAAGCUAUGCAAGCUGCCAACAAUCCAAACAGUCACAGAUUACCCUGUGAACAUUUACCCUGUCAUUGAGAAAUCUAGCUCAUGAAACUUACAACACAAAGGAUUCUAACCUGGAGGAAGGUCAACAACGAUGUGAAUUCUCAGAAUCAAAACACUACGGUCUCAUUCUACUACCCUUUGCCUAGUCAUCAGAUUCAGAUUUAAUCAGAAAAGUGCAUCGUGUUCCUCUGUUUUGUUGCCAAUGAAUAACCAUCACCAACCAACACACAUAGACAUGGAUGUCAAAAACAAUCCCUUUUGGACUGCCAAUUCUUUGCCUUCUUCAGCAAAAUUGCCGACCAAACAAUUUUUGCAGUCUUCGGACAACAGGGAACUAUGCCAUCUUCUUCUUCUGUCCCACGCAAAAUUGAAAAUCAAGAUUAUAAGUUUGGCCCGUUCUUCGCUUCAUCAUCCGUCUUCGCCUCGUGUUCGCCCGGUUUUUGCCCGUCACCCCAUCUUCGUCUCGCCCGUCGCCCCGUCUUCUUCCCGCCCGUCGCCCCGUCUUCGUCUCGCCCGUCGCCCCGUCUUCGCCUCGCCCGUCGCCCCGUCUUCGCCUCGCCCAUCGCCCCGUCGUCGCCUCGUGGUCGCCCCGUCAUUGCCGUUAUCUUCAUGGUAUCGUUGUAUUUUGUAAUGUGUAGUGUUAAUUAACCCGUUGGCUGCCACCCACUUUGAUCCCCUUUUUUUUUUAGCUUGUUAGGGUCCGGCAGCACUGUUCUGCCCAAUGGUCUAUAUGCCAUGGGUGGGACAGUUGCACAAGCCGUGUGGCGCAACGUCGAUCGUCGAGGCAAUACACCAGUAGGGACUCCCUCUUGUCGAUGCGGUGAUGGUUGCCUGGGGUGUGUAUUCCCAUAACGGCUUCCAUCAUCGUGUCAGCCCGGACUUUUCAAGUCCCCCUUGGUCGCGAUCCAUUUGAUCGCGAUGUAGCUAGCGUAGUUUAAAUGUGACGUGGCAGCCAACGGGUUAGUUGUAUGUAUUUUUGUUUGUAUUGUAUGUUAUGUAUUGUAUUUUGAAAUGUAUAAAAUAGUGGUGGAUUUGUGGGUGGAUGGUGGGACAAUAAAAUGCAUUUUAUUUA
This 4311-nucleotide long non-coding RNA is filed under the name Daphnia magna. RNAcentral describes it as "uncharacterized LOC116925400, transcript variant X12". The record is from RNAcentral. Lineage: Eukaryota; Metazoa; Arthropoda; Branchiopoda; Diplostraca; Daphniidae.